This 348-nucleotide ribosomal RNA is filed under the name uncultured bacterium. Its description in RNAcentral is "bacterial SSU rRNA". It matches the Rfam family "Bacterial small subunit ribosomal RNA", at positions 8 to 349 of the family's 1533-position model. The record is from RNAcentral.
AGAGUUUGAUCCUGGCUUAGGAUGAACGCUAGCUACAGGCUUAACACAUGCAAGUCGAGGGGCAGCAUGUUGGUUGCUUGCAACCAACGAUGGCGACCGGCGCACGGGUGAGUAACGCGUAUCCAACCUACCCUUGUCCAUCGGAUAACCCGUCGAAAGGCGGCCUAACACGAUAUGCGGUUCACAGCAGGCAUCUAACGUGAACGAAAUGUAAAGGAGAAGGAUGGGGAUGCGUCUGAUUAGCUUGUUGGCGGGGUAACGGCCCACCAAGGCGACGAUCAGUAGGGGUUCUGAGAGGAAGGUCCCCCACAUUGGAACUGAGACACGGUCCAAACUCCUACGGGAGCA